This 276-nucleotide long non-coding RNA is filed under the name Panax ginseng (ginseng). RNAcentral describes it as "long non-coding RNA (PGIN_LNC012145)". The record is from RNAcentral. Lineage: Eukaryota; Viridiplantae; Streptophyta; Magnoliopsida; Apiales; Araliaceae.
CCUUCCUAAACUUCUUAUUUGCAUCACAUUCUUUUUAAAUGGCCAAAUCCAGCACUAUUCCGGCCACUGAACCUAUCACCGCUACCUCCACCGUCACCACCGGCGACCUUCUAGAGGUCGUACUGCAGGAUGCCCCUGCCGACACCACUCCUUCGAUCAUGCCUAGUCCGGUAGACGCCGAGGCUAGGAUUCGAAAUGCAUACUAUUCCUCGGAGGAGUUUUCUCACCUUCAUACUCCUUCCACCAUCACCCCUUCACAGAUUUCUGACAUCCGGU